CUCUUUUUAAAACAUAAAAGUAAGUGCUAAAUUAAGUAGUUCGGCUGGUGAAUUAUUUGGGGGGGGGAUUGAUUACAUCAGAUGGAAACUUUGACACGUUCUUAUUAAAGGCGAGAUCAUCUACCAGUUUCUAGUUCCGGCCGUGAAUGUUGGAUUCAGGAUAAUUUUAGUGGGAGAUUUCCUAUCGAAUUUGGAGAUCCAGUCAGCUCAACUCUUCUACAUGUGUGUAAGCUAGAUACUUUUAUGAUUAAGUUAUUGCAUCUGGUUAAUUUACAUUUUUUGUAAAUAUUUAUGUAUGUCAUUUAAAAUUUGUUGAUUUGUGAAUUACAAGUUGUAAUUGUAUCAAAUAAAUAACGUUAAGAUCAAUACCAAGCAGUACUAAACCGUUAUUUUUCUUAAUGUAUGGUAUCACUGGUUAAUACCGCAUUUACUCAUUUAAUACCGCAUCGUUUUCGAUUCCUACCCCACGGUAUUAAUAAAGAAUACCAUGAUGCAAAAAAAAUCAAUACCGCAAGUCACAUUUUAUACCACGACGGUAUAAAUGCAGAAUAAUACCGCUUGGUAUUAAAUCAAUACCAAAACGGUAGAGUCA
Long non-coding RNA from Folsomia candida, 592 nucleotides. RefSeq lists it as uncharacterized. The transcript has 4 exons. The record is from RefSeq and is a predicted model, not a curated record. Lineage: Eukaryota; Metazoa; Arthropoda; Collembola; Entomobryomorpha; Isotomidae.